This is a long non-coding RNA of Cynara cardunculus var. scolymus (artichoke), 908 nucleotides long. RefSeq lists it as uncharacterized. Lineage: Eukaryota; Viridiplantae; Streptophyta; Magnoliopsida; Asterales; Asteraceae. The record is from RefSeq and is a predicted model, not a curated record. The transcript has 4 exons.
CUCCUCAUUCCAACGCACCUUUAUCCCUCUCUCUACGGCGCUCUCUCCACGCACGAUUUCAAAGAAGACGAUUCAUUCUUCAAGAAAACGAUUCAGGUGACUUACAGUGUAUAAAUGAUGAAGCAUGAUUCACGCUCCUGUCACGCGAUUCAAAUCCCACACGAUUCAGCCGAUUUUGUGGAGUUUGUGUGUAGCGAUUCAAGCUAUUCAGGACUGACCUCAAGCGAUUCAGGGCGAUUCUUUGGAGGUUCUCAAAGCAAGGAUAAUAUCAAAGGACAACAUUCAAGUUAGAAAGCAUAAAGGGCAUGGCAUAUUGUUAUCUGGAGUAACAGAAGUAAAAGUGUUCACACAGCCACAUUACUUGCAUAGAGAACUGUGAGGUACCAAAUAUCAGUGUGGUGGGACAUAGAGAACUGUCAGGUACCGAAAGGUUGUGAACCUCAUUCGAUCGCUCAGAAUAUAAGUUCUGCUUUGGUUGUUAUGAAUUACUGUGGGCCAGUAUCGAUUUCUGCCUACGGCGACACCAAUCGGAUCCCGGCCUCCGUACAGCAAGGUCUCAACAGUACCGGCAUCACCUUGAAUCAUGUGCCCGCUGGUAUAUACAUAUAAUUUUACAUCUAUCGCACCAUAUAUGGCAUAAGUAUAUAAAAGCAGAGUCUUUUUUGAUGUUGAACUGAAAGCGAUGAAUGUGCUUUUUGUGCUUUGAGUGAUUGAUUUUGGCAAAGGACUAUUACUUCAAAAAAAGACUUACAUAUGUGGUUGGUGCACCCCAAUCUGUCUGUAUAAUUAAGAUGGAGUAAUUUUUGUUAGUUACAUAUUUAGGGAAUGGUAGAGGAGUAGGCAAGGAGAGUUGAUCUGGUUUGUUUUAGUACUGCUUAUUUAUUUAUUCAGCUAAAUGCUAUCUUUAU